AUUGAGAGUUUGAUCCUGGCUCAGGAUGAACGCUGGCGGCGUGGAUAAGGCAUGCAAGUCGAGCGGACCAGUGUUUCACACUGGGAAUUUCAAGAAACAAGAAACAAUGACCAGACAAUAUUCAAAAAUUAAUUUUCAAUAACCAAACACGUUUUGGAAUUUGAGAUUUGUGAUUUGAAAUUUGUUUGUACCUUGUAUCUUGGUGUUUGGAGAUUCCAGCGUGGAACGCUGGUUAGCGGCGAACGAGUCAGUAAUACCUUGGUACCUACCCCCGAGACGGGAAUAACCUGCCGAAAGGCAGACUAAUACCCGAUAGUUCUCGAAAGAGUAAAGCAGCAAUGCGCUUGGGGAGGGGCCUCGGCCUGAUCAGCUAGUUGGGCAGCAGUCGAGAAUAUUCGACAAUGGGCGAAAGCCUGAUCGAGCGACGCCGCGUGGAGGAAGAAGCCCUUCGGGGUGUAAACUCCUUUUCCCCGGGAAGAACUUCGGUGACUGUACCGGGGGAAUAAGAGGUUGCUAACUCUGUGCCAGCAGCCGCGGUAAUACAGAGACCUCAAGCGUUAUCCGGAUUUAUUGGGCGUAAAGCGUCUGCAGACGGUAAAGUAAGUUCGGGGUUAAAGACCCAGGCUCAACCUGGGGAAAGCGUCGAAAACUACUUUGCUUAGAGGACAUGAGAGGCCAAUAGAACUUAUGGUGUAGGGGUGAAAUCCGUUGAUACCAUAGGGAAUACCAAGGGCGAAGGCAUUUGGCUGGUGUGUUCCUGACGUUCAGAGACGAAAGCGUGGGUCGCGAAUGGGAUUAGAUACCCCAGUAGUCCACGCCCUAAACUAUGGAUGCUAGCUGUGGGGAGUAUCGACCCUCUCCGCGGCGAAGCUAACGCAUUAAGCAUCCCGCCUGGGAAGUACGGCCGCAAGGCUAAAACUUAAAGGAAUAGACGGGGACUUGCACAAGCGGUGGAGCAUGUGGUUCAAUUCGACAAUAACCGAAGAACCUUACCAAGGCUUGAAAUUCUGCUGAAAUCUUUCCGAAAGGUUAGACCUCUCACAAGGACAGUAGAACAGGCGCUGCAUGGUUGUCGUCAGCUCGUGUCGUGAGAUGUUCCGUUCAGUCGGGUAACGAGCGCAACCCCUGUCGUGUGUUAUAUUUGUCACAGAGAUUAGUGACAAGGACUAAGUCGUAACAAGGCAGCCGUAGCGGAAGCUGUGGCUGGAUCACCUCCUU
Molecule: ribosomal RNA, 1218 nt
Filed under: Parcubacteria group bacterium GW2011_GWB1_40_14
Lineage: Bacteria
Description: bacterial SSU rRNA
Rfam family: Bacterial small subunit ribosomal RNA
Source: RNAcentral